AAUACAGAGGUGGCGAGCGUUGUUCGGAAUUACUGGGCGUAAAGCGCACGUAGGCGGCUUUGUAAGUCAGAGGUGAAAGCCUGGAGCUCAACUCCAGAACUGCCUUUGAGACUGCAUCGCUUGAAUCCAGGAGAUGUGAGUGGAAUUCCGAGUGUAGAGGUGAAAUUCGUAGAUAUUCGGAAGAACACCAGUGGCGAAGGCGGCUCACUGGACUGGUAUUGACGCUGAGGUGCGAAAGCGUGGGGAGCAAACAGGA
This 256-nucleotide ribosomal RNA is filed under the name uncultured prokaryote. Its description in RNAcentral is "partial 16S ribosomal RNA". It matches the Rfam family "Bacterial small subunit ribosomal RNA", at positions 522 to 777 of the family's 1533-position model. The record is from RNAcentral.